UAUAGGACCUGAGGUUCUUCCCCUCACUCUUCUAUUCUAGAUUCCUCUCUUCUAUCUUGGCUAACACCUCUUACCUUUUCCAGUUAGAUUCCAUGUUUGAAGACUAAAGAUUAAAAUACUUUUUCUUCUUGUGUGAGGAUUCAGAAGGUCUCAAGUCUAUCACAGACCUGUUUUUUUUUUACAUCUACAUACAUUGCAUCAGCUCCAAGCCUGCAGCCCUUAAUUCUUCAGACCAUGCUUUCUACAUUGGUUUUCAGUGGAAAACCAGUAUGUUCAAGAAUCCAGAAUCCCAGAAAAGAUCAAUCUCCCUAUCAUUCAAUCACCAAAAUCCAGUCAUGUCAACAGCAAAAUCCCAAUACCGAGUAUUCUGUCAGCAAGUUUUGGACGGGGCCUAGGCCUAAACCCCACCUCAUAAACCCUUUGAUAACAACUACUGAACAGAACCCUGUUGAUGAAGCCGCUAAAAAUGGAGCCUUUGAGGGAACAAAUGGUUCUCUGCGAAAGGGUUUUCAGCAGAUGUUGGUUUUGUGUGGAUUCGGAUACUGGGUGAAUGGUUUCAGGUGCUUUCCUUGGUUGGGACUCAACUUUCAUAUGGCUAGUAAUCUUUGUAUGCAGCCUUCAAAUCUGCAGAUGGUACAGAAUUUUGGUAGUCUUCCAAUGGUGGCCAAGCCUCUGUAUGGGGUAUUGUCUGAUGCUCUGUAUAUUGGGCGGGCUCGUAGAAUACCUUAUGUAUCCAUUGGAGUCUUUCUUCAGGUUCUGUCUUGGGGAUCGUUGGCAUUAAUUCCAGUUGCAAGUGAAGCUCUUUCAAUUCUUCUUGCAUGUGUUCUGCUCAGUAAUCUUGGGGCAUCUAUUGCAGAAGUUGCAAAGGAUGCUCUUGUUGCAGAGUACGGUCAAAAAAACAAGAUGCCUGGUCUGCAAUCAUAUGCAUUCAUGGCCUUAGCAGCUGGUGGGAUUCUAGGGAACUUGUUAGGUGGUUAUUUCUUACUACAAACUCAGCAACCCAAGUCCAUGUUCCUAUCAUUUUCUGUUUUACUGGCUUUUCAACUUACCAUAACUCUGGGAAUGAAAGAGGAUUCUCUUGGUUUACCUCAAACAUCAAGUCACUCUUUGGUGAGGAAAUCAAUCUCAGAAAGUAUUAGAAAACAGUACUUUGAUCUUCUGGUUGCGGCAAGGGAGGAGAGUAUCUCUCGUCCUCUCAUCUGGAUUGUUGCUUCCACUGCAACUGUUCCAAUCUUGUCAGGCUCCAUAUUUUGCUAUCAGACGCAAUGCCUAAAUCUCGAUCCAUCAGUUAUAGGGAUGUCAAAGGUGAUUGGCCAGUUAAUGCUUCUUGUGAUGACUGUAUCGUAUGAUCGACUUUGGAAACAUGUUCCCAUGAGAAAACUAGUUGGCAUUGUGCAGAUUUUGUAUGCUUCCUCCGUUCUUCUUGAUCUUAUACUUGUGACACAGGUGAAUCUUUGGUGGGGGAUUCCUAAUGAGGCUUUUGUUUUUUGCUUUUCUGGAGUAGCAGAAACUCUAGCACAAUUUAAGCUCUUGCCUUUCCAUGUGCUUUUUGCAAGUUUAGCUCCACCUGGCUGUGAAGGAUCUUUAAUGUCUUUUCUGGCUUCGGCUUUGUGCUUGUCGUCAAUAGCUAGUGGUUUCUUUGGUGUUGGAUUUGCCUCUGUUAUUGGCAUCACAUCUAAUGAUUACACAAGUUUACCUACCGGGAUUGUCAUGCAGUUUCUUGCAGCAUUACUGCCAUUGCUCUGGAUUAAUCGUGUGCCUGCAACACAUCCUUCAGCUGAAAAGGAAAGGAAGAAAGGUAGGAGUAGGAGGACCCGGAGAACUAGAAGGGUGGGGAGAGUUGGAUUUGGUUCAAUAUACUCUUAUAGACGUGAAAGAGAACCUGACUUUCUGAGGUGAGAAUCUAGUGCAAAGUUCUGGUGGUAUUGUACAAUUAUCCAUGAACAGAAGCACAGAAUUCAGGAAACACGUUCCUCAUCUCCCAAGAUUUCAACUCAUCAAGUUUCUGUGGGAUAGGUGCGUAUUGCUUUUGAAACGUCAUAGAAGACAUGGGUAAAUUCAAUCUUAAGCGAGCUCUGAGAAGUAAUUUCCACUGAUAGCAAGCUUGGAUGUUCUGUGACCUUUCCAGGAGACAUAACUCAAAAUAGACCUGAGUGGUAAUAAAAGUUAGCAGGCUCGGUGAAGUUGCCUUACAACAAACUCUCAUGCUGAUGAAUAAAUGAGCCAGUGUUGCAGGAUGAAAAAUUGGUCUGUACAGAGUUUAGGAGAAGCAACAAAGUGGCAGCCAGAAUGGAAAUAAUGGACCACAGGGUCCUGAGAUAAUUCUUCAUCAGGUGCGCCUUCCAGAUAUUUGGUUGCCAGCUACACUGCUUGUUAACUGUCUUAAAAAGUCUCAGGUAGCAGAAAUUAUCUGAGAGUAGCACAUCCUCGGCAAGUUUGUUAAACAUGGUAGAGACAGCUAACCAAUUUCUUACAAUCCAUCUGUGGCGAUGCUUUUCAACAUCCCCUUAAGCAUCAAUUAGGAAGUCCAUGAAUGUUACAUGAUCAGUCACACAUCUGUAAUCCUCAUAGACGGUAAGCAUGUAUUCUUCAUAUGCCAUUAAAUUUCUGAAGAAAGUUUCUGUAACAUCUCCUACAGGAAAAGGAGUGAUUUUUAUUACCCCAUUUUUGAACGUAAUGUGGAGCCAUGAUACACCU
Coffea eugenioides is the source of this 2697-nucleotide RNA transcript. It is a transcript of the gene named probable folate-biopterin transporter 8, chloroplastic, with no coding region annotated. The record is from RefSeq and is a predicted model, not a curated record. The transcript is spliced from 3 exons. NCBI's taxonomy places the organism in Eukaryota, Viridiplantae, Streptophyta, Magnoliopsida, Gentianales, Rubiaceae.